UCCUUGGUGGUCUAGUUGUUAAGACUCUGAGCUCCUAAAGCAGCGGGCACAGGUUCAAUCCCUGGUUGGGGAA
This is a non-coding RNA of Bos taurus (domestic cattle), 73 nucleotides long. NCBI's taxonomy places the organism in Eukaryota, Metazoa, Chordata, Mammalia, Artiodactyla, Bovidae. The record is from Rfam.